Molecule: ribosomal RNA, 497 nt
Filed under: uncultured bacterium
Lineage: Bacteria
Description: partial 16S ribosomal RNA
Rfam family: Bacterial small subunit ribosomal RNA
Source: RNAcentral
GAUGAACGCUGGCGGCGUGCCUAAUACAUGCCAGUCGAGCGAACGGACGAGAAGCUUGCUUCUCUGAUGUUAGCGGCGGACGGGUGAGUAACACGUGGAUAACCUACCUAUAAGACUGGGAUAACUUCGGGAAACCGGAGCUAAUACCGGAUGAUAUUUUGAACCGCAUGGUUCAAAAGUGAAAGACGGUCUUGCUGUCACUUAUAGAUGGAUCCGCGCUGCAUUAGCUAGUUGGUAAGGUAACGGCUUACCAAGGUAACGAUGCAUAGCCGACCUGAGAGGGUGAUCGGCCACACUGGAACUGAGACACGGUCCAGACUCCUACGGGAGGCAGCAGUAGGGAAUCUUCCGCAAUGGGCGAAAGCCUGACGGAGCAACGCCGCGUGAGUGAUGAAGGUCUUCGGAUCGUAAAACUCUGUUAUUAGGGAAGAACAUAUGUGUAAGUAACUGUGCACAUCUUGACGGUACCUAAUCAGAAAGCCACGGCUAACUACGUG